GAGGAGGGCCGCCUAGCUGGGGCCGCUCGUCUCGAGGAGAAGAUCGCUGAGGUCCUCAGUCUCUAGGAGGUGCUAGAAAAGGAGGGACAGACCUCAUCUGAUCUGAGGACUGCCUUGGAGGAGGAGAGAGGGAAGGUUGAGGCCAAAAUCUCCAGACUGAGGGUGCAGGUUUUCGAGCUGAAGGCAUAGCUUUCCAAGCUGAAAGCAUAGAUUCUGUCCAUGAC
This 224-nucleotide long non-coding RNA is filed under the name Elaeis guineensis (African oil palm). RNAcentral describes it as "long non-coding RNA (EGUI_LNC053434)". Lineage: Eukaryota; Viridiplantae; Streptophyta; Magnoliopsida; Arecales; Arecaceae. The record is from RNAcentral.